AGGAAAAUAGAAAUUUCUUAACAUAAAGCUCCUAAAAUUGAUGAAUUAAAUUUGGGGUCCUUUAUACUAAUUGUCAAAUAGCAUACUUUAAUCAAAUACUCAUUGAGCACUGUAAAAUUAAAGCAUGCAACUUCAAAGACUCUAAUUUAAAGUUGUUUGAAAAGCUUAAUUUCUUAUUACUUAACAGACAUCCCGCUUAAGCAGACCUCAUCCAUUGCAGUGGCUGGAGCUGUGAUUGGGGCUGUCCUGGCCCUGUUCAUCAUCGCUGUCUUUGUGACUGUGCUGCUGACACCACGGAAGAAGAGACCAUCCUAUCUUGACAAAGUAAUCGACCUUCCACCUACACACAAGCCACCCCCUGUGUAUGAAGAACGAGCUCCUUCUUUGCCUCAGAAAGAUCUUCUGUGCCAGACUGAACACUUGCCUUUGCAGACUCAGUUCAAAGAGAAAGUUGCUGAUGGUCUUCAACCCUCUAAUGGACUAAAUAGCAGGAGAUUUGACUAUGAAGAUGAAAACACAGUGCAAGAAGAUGGGACUCAGCAGAUGUACCCCCUUUAUAACCAGAUGUGCUACCAAGACCGAAGCCCUCACAAACAUCACCCAAGCAACCCCAAGAGACUCUAUAUCAACCCACGAGAACAUUAUGUGUGAUUUUCCUUUUCUUGUUAUAACGGGUGUUCUAACAAAUGUUUAUUCUUGGACUUGAGAGAGAAACUGAGGCAUCUAAACGAUUUCAGUCUAAGUGUGUUGGAACUCUCGAUGACUUGGAGCUAAUAGUGGAUGUCUUAACUUCAUUAAGACAUGGUUUCUUAACCACCAUCUGUGUUUGCAAACUCGCCUGUAGCUUUGCUUUGCUGUAACUCUGGUGUUUAACUACUAACACUUGGCCUACAGUGGCAUGUUCGUGUGGAAGUACGGCGUCUGCCUGUGAUGACGGCAGGGAAAGGCCCACCUUUUGGCAGCCACUCUGCUUGGGGCUUAGGCAGUGCGUGUCUGUAAUUUAAACAGGUGGGGAACGAGCUCCACAUCCAGUUGACUGAUUAUUAAGCUGGGAUUUAGGUUUCCCUAGCAUCUCAGUCCAAUUACAAUACCUGUGCACAGAGGCUGGUGGAAAGAAGUGAACUCUGCUGAAUGCAGACAAUAACAGAGGCAGGGGAACCUUCCAGUCUUGUUGGCUGUGAGCCAGUGUUAGUGCCAUGUGCCCUUUCUGGCCAUUAGGCCCCAAGGGCUCCACAGGGCCAUCUGCCCUCUAUCCCCUGGUGACUAGCUGUGUCUAGAGUCUACUUUGUCCUUGUUGCUGCAGCCUUGUUUUCCACUGGCCAGAUUAACCCAUUUCCCACCUAUUGUGUCCUAAAAUCCCUGCCGAAAUAAGAUGCAGUCUUUUUAGCCUUAUCUCUCUUGUAAAUGACAAGCUCUGAUUUCACUUCUUACAUUGCUUUCAAACUAGUCUCACCGCACACACACAGGCUUUAGCUAGCUAAUCUUCUCCAUUCUUUCCAAUUCUUCCCUGUCCUAUCUACCUCAAGGGUGGGGGCAGGGGGAGCUUGCUGAAGAUCACCACAAAAUAACUCCUGCUCUUAAAAGCCAGGUGGAAAAUUUGAAAACUUAACUUUUUGCAAAGCUACUUGAAUAUGACAUGUUUGCUAAAUCUGCAUGUCCUCUGUUCCUCCUCCCCACAUCACCUGGUCAACAAGCCUAAGGGGAUACUACAAGGGGAAUAAUACAGCAGCCUCUGCCAGUAUAAACAGCUACACAGUAAGGCUGCAACGCCUGCUCAUAUCUGCCUGGAGCACUCUUGUCUCCCUCUGCCAGCUCUCUGUCACUGAGACUGACGGUGGUAGGCACAGAGGGAAACAUACAGGCAAAAAGGAUCAUUGUUACAUCUUCAGAAUAACAUCACUUUACUGUAUAUCCUGGAAGAUCCGAGUGUGUCACCAGCAUUAAAAAAUAAAACACUAUGUACUGGUUACAUAUUUUUAAAAGAGUGGUAUAAACAGCAAAAUAAAUAGUAUAUACUCAUUUCCAGCCUAAGCUACAAGAGGAAAUGAGAAUAUUAACAGAUUUAUAGUGAAAUGCCAAAGAUACUUUAUUCAUGCCAUGCUGGCCAUAGUUCUCAUUUGCUUCUUUUUGUUGUUUGUCAGGCUUUGUGAGAUAACUCAUAGAGGUGGUUCUGCAGAAAUACACCCACCCACCUUACUCCCUGGGUGAUAGGCAGUUCUAGGAGCAAGCAUGCUCCAAUUCCAUCCUCCUUUUUCCUUAGGGUGAGCAUGUUUAGCAGUUAGCAUUUUUAGACACAACGGCUUCAGAACACCUAGAGUUCCACUGGUCCUCUCUGCUCCAUCACUGAGUACUUUGGAUUUAGUUUCCUGCCUCCGUAGCAAAGACAGUGGUCAGCCUCAUUGCUCAAAAUGCUAUUACCAAGUCAGUAUAACCGAAGUUACAGGAUUCCUUGUGAUUGUUCUCCUGCAGUUAGAUGGUGAUACACUGAGAGCUUCCUGACACUGAAGCUCUUCAUAAGGCCUAGAUACCAGGGGCCAGACUGCAGCACUCCCUCUCCUUCAGAAGGCUUUAAAAUAUCUCAAUACUGAGGACAGUCUCCCGAGUCCUGCUGGGAAGCAGGCCGUAGACUUCACAAAAGCACACUAUGGCCUCAGGGAGAGAGGAGGAAUGUCUUCGUUUGUGCCAGAGAAAAGGAUUGGGACACCUUUUGUCCUUUCCUUAGCACCCUCCCAGGAGGAACCCACUGUCUACUUUUCAAUGUUCUUUAGUAUUGCUAUGAAAAAGUUAUUUUAGGGCGUGGGUACUCUCUGCUGUCAGCUAGUUCACUCUAUCUGUGUCUUUCAGCUAUGAAAUUUCUUGGACAAACUACUAUAUUUGAUAGGUGUUGGCCUCAGACAUGGGUCACAUAAACUUCAUAAUAGCUUAUUCUAGUGCCUCCUGUCUGUUCUCUAUUAAAAAAAAGUUAGCUAAAUACAGAACAGCUUUAAAAGGGUUUAAUUAACCAUCCCCUCAACCAAAAAAAAAAAAAAAAAAAGAAAAGAAAAAAGAAAAAAAAAAAACAGCCAUCUAAAACUAGUCUGCUGCUCUCUGAAUUUGGGGCCUGGUCCACUUGAUGAUGGACACUAGACUAUAAAGGUCAGAAAGUGAGGUUGAGAGACACAGUCACAGCUGAUCCAUUACGGUUUUGUUAGUGUUCACUGGGCCAGAAGUAAAUCCCGUAGCAGGUUUCCUAUACUGCUGCCACUCAGCAGUGUGGGGCGGGGGAGGGGAGGUGCAUGUUCACCCUCACUGCAGCCUCCAUUGCCUGUUUCACCUGCCAGCAUUGCAGACCACCAGGACUCUUUGCAUCUCACUACACUGAGGCUAGGAUCAGCCUGACUUAAUAAGAGUGCAACCAGCAGAGAGUCAUUGUGUUCUUCUAUGAGAAUUCCCUCUAUGCCUGACAUUUCGUAGAUGCUCCGUGCUUUGGAGUAUAUGAAACUCUUACCUGUGUUAGGCAUCGGUAUAAUACACACACACACACACACACACACACACACACACACACACACACGUCUAAAGAAAUACCCAUUAAGUGGCCAGAGGCUCUUGUUAUUGUUAUUUUUCUGUGUCCUGUUCACUCAGAAACAGGACCAAGUCUUUCAUCUCAAGUUGUCUUUCAUUGAAGUCUAAAUUUCAAUUUUUUUUUUUUUUUGGUAUUGCUUGUUUUUCCUUGCAUUCCCUUGACUCCUGGUGUUAUUCUUACUGUACAAUAGGCCCACCUUGGGAUCAGAGGAGACUCUAUUGUUAGAAGAAUCAACACAUCAGGUCUAUACCUAGUGUUACCCCUAACUAUGGAAAUUUAGGAAAAUAAUCUGUCUAGGAUAUUAGUUGUCUCCACCCGUGAAGCAGAGACCUUGCUGUCAACCUUUCAGAACUGUGGUAAGAAUUAAACUAGGGUAUGAUGAAUGAGAAAUUGUUAGUUCUCGCCAAACUAACAAGUACCUAUGACUCCACUGUUACCUAUUGAUUUCAACUUCCAGUGCCUUUGCCAGUAUUUAGAGAACUAGAAUGUUCCGGGGAGAGCCAUUCAGCAGUGAGGACAUUUCGGUAUUGGUCCAGAUUUAAUAUAACCAAUUGCAAUUUAUCCCCCCAAAAAGUUUCAUAUCUGGGCUAUUGAGGUGCCUCCUCGGGUGAAGGCACUUGCCAUGCAAACCUGGGCCCCUGAGUUCAGUCCCUUGAGAUAACACUGAACUAUAAGGAGAUAUAAGGGCCACAACAUGGCCCUCUUACCACCGCCUGCACACAUGCAGUAAGAAUAAUAAAUCAUUUAAAAAGGUUCAUCUCUGUUGAGCUUUAGGUAGGAUUGAAGAUGUGCAUUGUUAGAAUUCACGGUUCCUCCUGUUUUACGAAUUACUACUGAGUGUGUGGGAAGGAGUGGCUUCUAGGGCCAUCACCUUACAUAAAUCAUCUCACCAGAUUGGCUUGUACCCCUGCUUUGUCCUCUCUCAAGAGCUCCCACGGGAACUGGCAGGUCAUACUCCCAUACCACACAGCUGUGGAUCAUGUAUUUCAUCAGUCAUCUGCUUUGCUUGUUGGGGAUAUAGUUGUCAUGGUUUUCUUUUUAAAACAGGAGCACAAAAGCCUACACAUAAAACUGUAAGAAAUGUUGAAGUAGAAAGCACAUGUGCUCACUUUGACCUCUGAAUAUUCAAAAAGUGCUCUUCUGUCCAUGAGUUUAGCCUGCAUUAGGUUAAGCUACAAAGGCCAGUCAACCAAAUCAGAUAAAACAGCCUAGACCACUUCGUUUGGUUUUAUAAGGCACAAACUUUUAACAUUCUUUCCUGGACUUAAUUUGACAUGCUUCUUACUGCUUGACUCCAUUCAAUAAAGAUUAAGUUCCCAGGGUGGCAACAGUCAUAUUUCAGGCAUCUGGAAGGAAGUCAGAGAAGGGUAGAAAGGGUGAAACUCGGAAUUCCAGUGUCACCACCUGUGCCUCUCAGCUUUGUGUGUUUUUUGUGGUGCUUGAAUGGCAAGGCCCUCCCUUCAUCCUUGGGUCAUUUGAAGACUCUGAAAGAACCCAGGACUUUUAUCUAUAUUAACCCAAAAGCUAAUGUUUGCAAACCUAGUCAACUAUAAACUGUUACUACAGUACUCUUGUUACAGAUGAUGAAAUAUAUGGAUUUUUUUCCAUUCAAGAAUAUUAUAUGCUGGACUUUGUCAGCUGUUACGGCUGUUUUGGUAGCAUUUGGUAGACAGAUGUGUAAGUCUAUAUGCCUCAUGGCAACCUCCCCAGUAUUUUAGUCCAAGUACUACAUCUUCUAUGUUAAGCCAGAAGGCUCCAGAACAGUCCUCCAGACUCAUAUCAAGUAGAGAGAACCCCUAUGCUACCCUUCCCAGCAACCCCAACAGCAUCCCAUGCCUAUCUGAAAGAGUUCUCAGAGUCGAGUCCAGCAAUACCCUUCCUGAUUUAGUCAGCCAUACUGUGUUCUCUUUGGUUUCUACAGAGAGAACAGGCCAAGUAUCUUCAAUCCAUUGGGCUUGUUCAUGGGAGGACUGGCUUUACAUGAAUUGAACCAAUCCACUCACCAUCAGCACCACCAGCCGGACCACAGAAAAUAUUCACUUGCUGGGUUAACAAAGUCUCUAGGGUUGAGCUGCAAAUAAAGUGUGCAGUAACGGCCUCUGAAGUGACCAGAGCCUUUGCAGAUGCUGAUGGCUGCUGGAAGAUGUGGGCUCUUGAUUAGGAUGAUUUAGAUAUUAACCAGCCAUCCCUAGAGGCAUAUUAAAACUGAUCAGCAUGUUAGAGAAUAAUUUUUAAAGUGAAAUCCAGAACUUAGUAAAUAUUUCUCAGGUUUUCCCAGCCUCUUACUCUAGGGUGUGGUGGGCUAGUCACUGCUCUGAAAUCAAGAACCUGCUGAAGAGUUUUACUGACAUUUAUCCAUAGUAACAGCUGUUAUCUUGGGAUGCACUGUCAGCAUUGUGCAGAUUUAUCAAAAAGAGCCCAGGAUCUGGAUUGACAACCAACUGACAGGCUUCUGGCCUCUUGUGCUAAAGUUCCACAGUGGAUUUAUCACUCAGGAGCAAAUGCUACACAGGAGGUCACUUGGUCUUAAAGUUACUAUCAAGUUCUAAUUACUAUCCUAAACGAUCUUCCAUAAACAAAGGGAGCUUUCAGAGAUAGUUCAGUCUCCUGCCACUCUAAAGGUGGGAGGCCACACAGUUGCCCUUUUAUGGGUUUCCCUGGACUAUUUCUAGGAUCAGAGCUUAUGGGUACAACACAAUGGCUGGUUUUGUGACCUACACUGGAUUGAUUUUAUCUCUGUGGCAUGGAAUUUAACUGUGAAAGGUGAUUAGAGGAAACCCUAAGGGGAGUCCUCCCUGGGAAUCCAUUCCACUGGAUUUGCUGCAGUGACUUAGAACUGAACCCUGUCCCACCGCAGAUGUGUCUGACAACCAUGGAGAGACGAGUUAGCUGCCUUUCUUCAGAGGUUAAUUUUCCUUAAUGACACACAGAAGAUCCAGGAAGGCCAAAGUUACACACAUUUUUCCAAGUGAGUGUACGCCAUUAUUUUGGUCUUCAGUACCCUUUCCAAAAACAGUCAGGAUUUUAAAUCCACUCUGAUGUUUCAAUCAAGCUAAGUUAAAUUCCUCUCAGAAAUCCUAUGAGUAGUCGGGUAGUCAUUGUAUUUUAACUAGAGGUAGCAGAAGUUUGUUCUGUGUGCACCAGUUUCCUCCAGCUCACGAGUGACUCAGUUGUACUCUGUGCCUCACAUAAUCCCAUGAAACACAACUGCAAAGAUUCCCUUAAACCCAGCACUUCAGUCCCUGGAGGAGGAGUGUCCAUUAUCUUUGGCUUCAUUGUGUACCAGAGACCCCAAAUCCUCUGUAAAACUAUGUUAAGUAGCUGGUAUUGCCACUAAAGCCCCGGAUUAUUCCUUUUGUCUAUGUGUAAAAGUUCCUGUUGUUCCUCUACCUUCUGUUUCUGUCUCCAAGCCAGUGCUGCACACCAUGCCAUCUCCAGCCCGUCAGCUCUCCAUGCGGUCCUCACCUCUCAACAUCUCCGUGGCUCAGCUUUGUCCCUUCAACUCGUGCUCUCUACCUAACAAGGUUGUACUGGUGGUAGGGGGGAAUAAGAUGUCUAGGGGCUAUCUUUUAAGAGAGAUCGCUCCUUCAAAGUGCUUUUACAAAAGCCCCUGGGCUUAGAAAUGAGAAACUCCCUAGCUAUUAUAUUUUUCUAUUCUUGUUUUGCUAUUUUUACUUCUGAAAAGUGAACUCUGUCUGAAAAGAGGCUUUAUCCUGGUUUUAACUCUUUCUCUAUUAGUCCUCUCACACUGGAAGCUCCACCUUGUAUUCUGAACUUCUUACUCUGACCCAAAACUAAGUCUUUGCAGUAGAAACCCCAACUCUUGUACUUCUAUUUCUUCUUCUGCAGAAGAAACUAGCUUUUCCCAUGGGAAACUAGUAAGGCCUCACUCUGCCUCCAUGCAGGUCUCACAGCAAGCCUUGCUUCUUGAUUCAUGAGCAGAGGCAAACUAGUUUCUCGGUAUCUAGAUGUUGAUUCCUGGCUCAUAAUCGGUAGAAGCAUUUAGCUCAUGGCUUGUACUUCAUUAAUGGAUGAUGGGUAAUCUAGAUAGCCUUCAAACAGGAGAGAGUCUAGCUCGAUUUGGAAUCCCUUUGCCCCCACUAUUUGCAAAAGAAGUAUACUUUGCUGUAAAAGUAGAAAUUUGUUGCUUGUUUUUUGAAUUAUUUCCAUUUUGUAGAGAGUUUGAUGCUAUGUGUUCUUGCUUGUGAGAAAAGACCCAAGUUAUAAAUUUAAGCAUUAGAACUGAAACAGGUAAUAGUAUAGUGGGUGAAGAAAAUCUAGCUCAGAUAUUGUGAAACACAAAGAACAGCUUCAACUUUGAUAUUAUCUUUUAAGUAGUAAAUGUUAAUGUGGUUUUUAGACAGUCCUUAAGUUUCCAGAAAUUUUCUUUUAUUUUUGCAUUUUGGACUGUAUGGAUCUUUAGAUAUUUUGAAUAAAGUCUUUUAUUAUCUAAA
Psammomys obesus (fat sand rat) is the source of this 8019-nucleotide long non-coding RNA. RefSeq lists it as uncharacterized. The record is from RefSeq and is a predicted model, not a curated record. NCBI's taxonomy places the organism in Eukaryota, Metazoa, Chordata, Mammalia, Rodentia, Muridae. The transcript has 4 exons.